This 72-nucleotide transfer RNA is filed under the name Amphiura digitula. Its description in RNAcentral is "tRNA-Asp". Lineage: Eukaryota; Metazoa; Echinodermata; Ophiuroidea; Amphilepidida; Amphiuridae. The record is from RNAcentral.
UGGGGUUUAGUUAAAUAUAAUAAUAUUAGUCUGUCUAACUGAAGUUAUGGAGUAGAAGGUCCAUAACCCUAA